GCUGUCAGGUGAGACAUAUGAAGCUCAGACUAGUUUAGUAAAUAUCUUCUUAAAGCGGCUGUGAAGUGUAAGAAUAUUUUCAGCAGCUACUGGGUUUGACUCAACCCAAGAUGAUGAAUCCUGAAGAUGGAACAAAGUGCAUGACAAGGUGGCCCAGAGGAAGCCAGCUGUUUGUUCUCAAUCCCUACCUUGCCCCAUUCUUCCAAGAGCUCACUGAGUUUGAAUGAAAACCUCUAGUGAGGACACCUACAACACCAGGUGUCGCAGGAAGGCCAAGAAGAACAUCAGGGACCUCAGCCAUCCGAACCAUGGCCUGUUCUUCCCAUUUUCCUUACUCAGACGCAGGUGGCACAGGAGCAUUAUGGCGAAAACUGGAAGACUGGCCAAUAAUUUCUAGUCUGACUGCUGCUCCCCCUAUGGUCAAUGUCCACCCCAAUGGACAUGUAUUUAUUAAUCACUGCUACAGUUGUUAUUAUGUAU
This is a long non-coding RNA of Coregonus clupeaformis (lake whitefish), 480 nucleotides long. RefSeq lists it as uncharacterized. NCBI's taxonomy places the organism in Eukaryota, Metazoa, Chordata, Actinopteri, Salmoniformes, Salmonidae. The transcript has 3 exons. The record is from RefSeq and is a predicted model, not a curated record.